RNAcentral lists this non-coding RNA (21 nucleotides) under Arabidopsis thaliana (thale cress). The record is from RNAcentral. Lineage: Eukaryota; Viridiplantae; Streptophyta; Magnoliopsida; Brassicales; Brassicaceae.
UCCGAACGACGCUUCCGCCGA